ACCUUAAAGGCAUUUAAAUCUGGCUUUAGGAGACAGCGAACCCUAUGAUUGCUCAGCCACAGUGGAAAUAAAGGCCAAAUGGAAAAAAAAAAAUUGUAUAGGAAAUUCUUAUCAUCAUGAUAAUCUUCUUCUUCAGACAAGGGAAAAAAAUAUAGCAGCAUUAAAAAUAAACUUUGCACCUCCUGCAAGGACUUGCAUAGGUUUCUGAACUUUAAAUUCAAAGACUGCCAUGGACAUAAUGGAUUGCAAUGUUCUGGCACUUUGGAACAGCAACAGCUAACCAAGACUUGGCCAAAGAAUGCUCUUCUCCUUUAUUUUGCCUGAUGGACUCUCCUGCUAUAAUCCCUACUCACUGCACAGGGAAAUUUACCCCCAGAGCAAGAGCUUGUGAGAGACUUCUUUUGGUAUAAAACGGACACCUUUUUCUUACAUUUCCUGUGUGCAGAAACACCAGGGUUUGUGCAUUGUACUGAUGUGAAAAGACCAUAUCCAAGACUCCUGUUAACAUGCAACAGAAGUGAUAGAUGGAGAUAAUUGGGAAGGAAGCUGCUGUUUUAUGAGAAAUUCCACAUUAAAUUCUGUUAAAUGGUACAGGAACAAAGAAACCCAUAGUAAUUUCCAGGGGGAAAAAAAUAGGGUCAUACCAAAGGCUUAAGAGAAUCAAAAUCUUUUAUUCUAAUUUCGACCUUUUUAAAAAAUACUGUAUAAUAAAUGUACACAUAUAAAGGAUCUAAAAGCCAUACAUUGAAGGAGAAAUUAUUAAUCUUCUUUUUUAAAAAUGACAUGCUAGAGCAUCGUGAUUUUCCUUGGAUGGUUAAUUUUUCUGUGCUCCAGGUUUCCCUUAUUGCAACUUUUUCCCUUGUUGGUCUAUGAUGCCUCAGGUGGAUUAAGCCCAGAUUUUUCCCCCAACAUGCUGUUCAUACUACACAUGUUUAACAGGGCAGCACAGAGCAAUGACUGCUGUUUUGAGAGGUAAUUUCACAGGCAGCAUCCACCACUGUGGAAGAUCAAGAAGUUAGGACAGGAAGUGACCAUGUCACAGGGACCUGCCGCAGAGAAUAUAUCUUCCUGCAGGAUCUUGCCAGGUUGGAGGCUCUUCUGCAGAGACAGCAAGGAGAAAAGGAAGAGAAGGGUUGGUGAAGGUCUGUUCGUAUGGGUAGAGGAUCACAGCUGCUGUGCAGAAACCCUGCUCCACCAAUGGAAUGGAAGGAGAAUUUCUUCUCUUCGGCAUUGAGGGAGAGUCCUGGGGUUAACAGACGUAAUAACCUUGCCUUGGUGGGAUCCUCACAAGUGAAAUUCUGUCUUGUUCUGAGCACAGAGGUGUGGAAUGCCUUCCCCAGAUAUACAGCUAAUUAUAGCUAGGGUAAAAACCUUUCCCUUCAAUUUCCAGUCUGAAGCAAGACUCAGUUUCUCCCUAUUACAACGCAUGUGGCAGUGUCUGUGGUGCACCGUUCUGCCAGUGCUAUUCCCUGCGCUGAUGGACGUUACUGUACAGCUCACAAAAAGACAAUGAAAUGAGUGUGGAGGACUUGCUUUGCCUUAGCUGCCGUGCCGGCAGAAUCCUGACAUGUUUCUGACUGCGUGCAGUCCUGCAAACUAAGCUUUUUGAGAAAAAGGCUACCAAAGCUUUGCGGAAAAGCGUCUUAAACCUCAGGUGCUGCAGCAUCAUCAGGAGCUGAGGCUGGAAUGUAAGUCCAAGUUAAUGAAGCAGCCUCAAAGUUGAGGAGGAAGAGAAUAAACUGCAGCUCUGAGGGCAUUGACUUCUGAGAAUAAACUGCUCUCAGCUGAAAAAUGAACCCUUAGCCCAUGUGUUCAUGGAAUGGAUUGAGUUCAUUGUGGUGCUGAUUUACUGUAACUAGAUGCAAGAUUGAUGCAUCCAGGAGAAACAAUUCCACGUAUCUCAUCUGUCUCUGGAACUGCCCCUUUAAUCUCUUUACUAGAUUUGAUUGUUUUCUAACAAACCAGCAGAUACCUCUAGAGCAGGCUGUGAUGUGAAGACUGACUCAUGGUGGAACUUUUGCUGAGGUGUGGAUUUGGGGCUAGGAGGCCCCGUAAAGAAAAUAAAAGCAUUAUGCAGCACAGUUUGGAAGUUGAUGGCCAGUACAGCUCUGUGAAGGAUCAUGGAGUGAUUCCUCGCCAAAGUGAACUAAAUCAGAAGUAACUCCAUUAAAGCAGGCAGAUUAAAACCUGUUUGGAGGAGAUUAGAAGUGACCCCUGUGUGGGAAAACACAAAGCACUUCAGAUAAUUGUGUGGAGAGCAGGGAGCAGAAAAAAAUUAAUAUCCUGACAGAAAUCUUGAUAACCUGAAAAAAUUGGUGAAAGCCAGGAAAGUAAACAUCCUUUCUUGGAAAAACAAAAAAGACUCCAGACAAUCUCUUGACAUUUAAGGAAGACUUGAUCUCCUAAUAAAGAAAACCUAAAAUAUCUGAAUAGAGCUUGUGGAGGUUCCUCAGGGAAGGAAGAGAAUGCAUAAAAGCAAUCCUCCUUUGGUACUGGGGAGGAAGGGACUGCAGGCUUGGGAGGAAUCACACAGAAGAACAAUGAUAACUUUUUAUUUCAUCCAGUGAAGUCAGUGGCCUGGACUUAGCUCCGCUGAUCAGAGGGCACUUCUAAUAACACCAAGGCUGUGAGUUCAGUCCCUGUAUAGGCCAUUUACUGAAGAGCUGGGCUUGAUGAUACUCUUGACCUCCUUCCAACUCAGAAUAUUCUGUGAAUCUGUAAAAAAUUUAUUCACAAAAAAUGCUCCUACAGAUCAAGGAAAUACUUUGGAAACAGAAGGCAAGUUUCCUGGGGUAUGGAUUCUAGAAACAAAUUCCUCUUUCCAAAACAAAAAAACCUAAACAAACCAAAAAACCAAACAAGAAUUGGGUUCAGUCCAUGGUACUGCCAUUUGGGGACCAACUGCAAUCUGUUUAGGCUCAUAUUCUGCAUUUGCAAGUACUAGAAUCAAAUGCUGACAGUUCUUACUAGUGCGUAAUUAAAUUCUUACUCCCAGUUGAAGCCAUUGGCAAAACUUUCACUGGCUUCAAUCUUCAAUAGUGCUGGAUUAAGCUUUCACUGAAUGUCAUGAGAAUUUGAAAAGCAAAAUCAAUCCAGAUUUUGCAAAGAGCCUCUUUGUUGUGGAUCAAACCAAACUCAUAAAGUAAAAAAAAACAAACAAAAAAAACCCCCAAAAACUUUGCCAUGAAUGCAGUAAGAAUAAUGAAUCAUAUUGGUAUCCUGCAUACUUUUCCAGAAGAUAGACAAACUGAGUCACUUGGGGGUCACAGCAAUAAUCAGAAUUGUGUAAGUACUGUGUAGCAAAAAAUAUUUCUUGGUUAGUCUGCUCUUUUUGGCACAAUCCUUCUGGCAGAAACGUAUAAAUUUAUUUUGUUGUUGCUCAAGAGCUCCUGGUGAGUAAUUUCUGCUCUGCAGAUGAUAUAUGAUGUAGAUGGUUUUUCAAGUCCAAUUUCAAAGUGUAGUGCUGUGGUUUAUCACAAAAUGUUUUACUGUAGUCUAAUAGCUAGAACUCUAAGAAGCCAGAUUCCACUGUUAAAUUUCAAAUAAAUCCCAUCCCUUCCUAGAUGUAUCUCUCAUUAUAAAUUUACAAGUUAAAACCAACGAGAAACAGGAGUGCCUGGCUGUAGAGAAAGUUCUUCCCCAUCCUACACCAUGUGAGUGAAGUCUGCAGAAGUUUGGGAAACUGGUGAGACUGCAGAGAUUUUUCUUAAGGAGAGUGAUACAAAGUAAGUAUUGUUCAUCUUACAGUAACCCCCCUCCAGAAAAUAUCCCAAAAAAACCCGACAAAACAAACCCAAAACAAAUUAAAUAGAACAGACUAACCUUAUGUAGAAAUUGCAAAUUUAUUGUCUAUUAAUAAACCACAGUUAGAGGUGUGUGGAAUGGAAGGUGACCUGAGUUUCCCCUGAUGAUUUAGGGGAUUAUUCUGGUGCUCACUGAACAGAAGCUUGUCAAUAACUGCUGCUCCUGAACCUAUGCUUUGUCAUAGCAGUGGCCUCUGGUCCUUGCUACAAUUCCCUUAGGAUCAGAAGGAAAUUCUCAUCAGAAGGAAAUUCUACCAGGAAAGAUCAAGAGUCCAUUUCUUCAGAGAUGCAAAGGCUAGGAAAACCCCAUUAACAGGAUUUGCUCCUGCUCUACAGUGGUUACAGCCCUGAGAGAGGACUGGACUUUCCACUCUUACCAACUGAACCAUAUCGGUAACACUUCAUCCUUCAGUCCUGUCCCUGAAUUGUCAACAUUUUUCUUUGGCUUUAGUGGUGACAUAAUGGGCUAAGUAGGGCUCAAGCAGAUACUACAUUUCUAAGGGGGGCACCAGAAUAGGACUGCAACUGCUCUGAUCACUCACCAGCAUACCAGGCCUGGACUACCCUUCUUGGCUAUGGGCUUUCUCCUGUCCCCCACUGCCCCAAUAUUCCCAGCUCUCCAUCCCUUGGAUAGAAGGAGUUGUCAGCCUCUGUCUUAGCUACACCUUAGUCUCCUUUUGUCUCCUGCUCCUGCCUGUCAUGUUCCAAGGGUUCUGGGUACACAACAACAGUAUGUAAAUAUGAUUAUACUUCCCGACACCUCCCAUAAUACAGUAUCAGCUCUAUGUUGUUUAUCAGUAAUUUCUGAUUGGAAAACAUGUAUACAGUCAAAAUGUUUUUACUUAGUGCGUUUUGCCUUCUGAGAUACUUAAUCCUUGCUUUUAUUCCUGUUACAUUUCCACAGUUUUCUGGCAGGUUUGUUUUCUUUUUCAGAGUGUGUGAAUUUUACCUAACAGAGUGCACGGUAGAACAAAACAUUUAUUUUUAAAUGUUUAUGGGAAUAAAAUAAUACUGCUAUUAUCUACACCCUUGAUUACCAGGAUUAUCUCGUAUAUAUACAGAUCCUCCAGAUAGGCAGAUUAAGUGAUCAGAAGGUUCUUAGUGGGCCCUAGGCUCCGAGCAUACACUAAAGAGGAUCAAGCCUGCUUUAAUUCAUGUGCUGCUUUGCUAAUGCUCCUGCUCUUUCUCAGGAGAAUUUCUGAAAUAUGUUAUCUGGGUCCCAGUGUGGUCCAGUGAGUUGUAUAGACAGUUUGGCUUGGAUGGACAAUAAAUUGGGGCUGACUUGGAGCAAUAAUGUAUGAAGAAACAUGUAUUUUGCUUAUCUUGGGCUUGAGAUACACAUCUUUCACAUUUGUUGGCAGACCUUGAGCAUCUUGUUCUUGCUCAGUGUUGCUAACAAAUGCCUCUAGAGUCUGGUGAGAAUGCCUCUUUGUAGCCAUUCACAAAUCCAAGGUGUUUGAGGGAGCAUAGGAGAGGACCAGCUGUGUCCCUUAGAGAAAGAAAAAAGUGGAACAAAGGCUUUUGCUAACCGAUUGAACAGUUUUUAGGCAGGUAGUCGUACUUGCUUAUAAAGAAAGUUUCUGAGAAGCUGACAUUUCCCCAUGGCCCUGCUAGCAUGUAGCAAUUUGAACAAUGAAUAUAGGAAACCACCCUGCAAAUAUGAUUUAUCCACCAGCUUAAAAAAAAAAAAACCCAAACAACACAUGAUUGCUUUCUGACUAGGAUAUGUGCUCUGAAUUGCUUAAGAAUUUUGAGAAACUUUCUUUAUAGAGCUUUAAAAUACAAUAACGUAGAGAUGAAAGACUCCUUUAGAAUUAAUGAUGGGGACAGAACUGAAGUGACAUCCAUGUUGAAGUGCCACUAUCUUAAAUUGUUCUUUUCCAGUUACUAUGUUUCUGAAUGUGUCUGUGGCUGCCAGUCUUUGUCAUGUCUGCUAGCAAAUAUUGGAGCUAGAAGAUGAAAAGAAAUGUGCAGCAGUGGAGUGUGUUAUGGGGUAGGAGUGAGCUUUUGACACUGAGCCUAAGAAAAAAAAUAAAUGGAAAGAUCUUUUUGCUUAAGAAAAAAAAAAACUACAUGAAAAUUUGGACUGAUAAAAGAGAAGUAGACAAGAAUAGAUGAAUAGAUAAAGUGCCUUGAAAGGAACAAUGGGGGUGGAUGCAACUGUUGAGGAAAGGAGGUCCUGUGUAUGUGAGAAAAAUUUCACUGUACAUCAUAAACAGAGGUAGAAGACUUGAGUUUAAAAUUCAAGAGUAGGAAAUCAUUGAAAAAGGGCUCUAGAAAGUCGAGGCAGCAAAGAAGAACUGACAGUAGUGCAAGUUCAGUAGCGGUGUUUUGAAAAGAUUAGGCUGUAGUGAUUUCAUUGGGUAACAUUCCUUUCCUCACUUCUCUUGUUUCACAGGGAGGAGGGUAAUCUCUCAUUUAUUUAUAACUAUCUCAUAUCUGAGAUGAAAGUCAGAGCUGGUUAUGGUUGGCCCCAGAAUCCACCAGAGGUACAGAGUCCUGUGAGAAAUCCUUACUUGUCAAGCCUCUAAUUUUAUGCUCUGGCAACCUUAUGCCAUAGCAAUAAACUCCUUUAAGACCCAGCAACCAACCCAGUUACAAUGCCAAGCUGCCCAGUUUAAUUUGAUCUUGAACACUGGCUUUUGGUGUAGGAACAGUGCUGUGAAGCAGAGGUGCACUUGUAUGACUACAUCUGCAGAGUGAAAACACAGCCUUCCAAAAUACCUUCUGUCUGUCCUUUUGGUGUUCUGCUUAAUGACCUCACCCAAAUAAAAGGACCAUACCUUCCAAAAAUGUUAUAAUGGAGGCAGAAAGCAGUGUUCUUUCCCAAGGGCAAAACUGAGAAUAAAAAAAAAAAACAAAACAACAAAAAAAAACCCAAAAAAACCCCCAAAAAACAAACAAACAAAAAAAAAACCACCCCCACUGUUAAGCAAGACCCUCCUUUCUGUUUUUAAUUUCAGAAAAGCUAGUUUGGUAAAGCUUCUACUGGAUGGCUUUCAAAUGCAAAUCCUCCAGGCUACUUUAGGCGAACUUGAUACCGUCUUUGAGUCAGACUAGUCUCUUAAAAUGCAGCAGGACCAAAAAAGGACUUGUGAUUAAGGAGACUGCACAUCCUUGGUGUCCUGGAAGCAUGCCAGGGUAUGAGAUGAUAUUUCAAUCCUUUGCAUUCCCGAGAAUGUCCUUUUGUCCCAUGAAAGGCUGACAUCUUCCUGUGUCAUAACGAAAUGGUGAGGCAGGGAGGGAGGUGUCUGUCUAAUGAAAUCAGUCUGGAGACCAGCUAGAUCUGCUGGUAGGGUGAUUGACUGUUGCUUUUCUGGGCUCUCCAAUGAAGGGGUGUCGGUCUCUGGUGCUCAUUUCUGUCCUCUGCCUGCCCCCUGUUGGCUGGUCCACUACAUCGGCAAUGGACCUGGCAUCCCCCUUGUGCCGUACUUGGAAGGGCUGGACGCAAAUGAAAAGGAUUUUCAAAGGAAGUCAUCACUAAAAUUAAAAAAUCGUCUUUUUGUGUGUCCCUUAAUGUGACAAAAAGUGUUGCGGUGGGGUUUUCUUUUGUUGUUGUUUCUGUUUUUUCUCUUGCCAAACUCUGUAUGGUUGAAGUUUAAAAGGGUGAUGACUACACAAUUAAACUUUUGGAAUGCUAUUCUGGAGGCUGGCAGCUGCUUUCAUUUCUGCUUAGACUUCCUUUAAUUUCUGAUUCAUAUUUUCUUUCAGUGGCUUUCUUGCACACAAAUGCCAAAAUUGUUGCUAACUUUAUAAGUACAAAAUGGCUACAUCUGCUAGAAAUCACCCUCGUAUGAAAUAGCUGCAUCGAAAAUUCCAGACAGGUAAGCUCUUCUCAUGUUAUAUUCAACAUCUAGAAAUGUGAAUUUCCGAAAGUUCUACCCUCAGCUAUUCAAAUACAAGUUGUACUGCGAGGGGUGGGAACUUCAACAAGCUUAUCGAGGGGAGAACUGAGGCAUUUCUGCUGUAAAGGAGCUGGGAAAGAUGUCAUUUUUCUGCUACCAUAACCUAUCUCCCCACAGAUCCUCCUUUAGAAAAACAUGAGAGCUCUCUUCCUUGAUUAGAGGGAAUCUAACUCAGUGUACAAGGCUGACAGGGCUACCAGCAGAUGCUUAGGAAAAGUACAUCAGCACAGGGCACAUACAGCAUGAUCUUUCCUUUGGUGCAUCCUCUUGCCAUCCAGAAGCCACCAUUUUUGAGACUUUUUAUGCAGAGGCUGGAUAAGGUCUGUCACUUUUAUAGCCACCAAUGAACUAACUCAGUGUUUAAAAGUUGCCCUGUUACUUGUAAGUAUUCACCAGUACUCGCUAACUUUGAAAUUCAUGAAGCUCUAGAUACUUCUCUCUACUGUUAUUUGACUAAUGUAUCAUAAGUAAUGCAGUGAACUAAUCUCCCAUUCUGGAGCACAUUCCAAUUCUAUUUUCUCAGCUAAAAUCCUCUCAUGCUCCUCCUCCUCCUCACUGUGGUGUGCGUGGGCAAUUUACAUCCAGCUGUGGAUGGCAGCUGGCCCACCUCACAAGACAGCUCUAUGCAGCUGUUUUUUCAAGAGAUGUAAGGUGGUCAGUCACUGACAGGCUGCCCAUAUUGUUGUUUGUUAUAGGCAAAAAGUUUUCUGUCAGUCUCUGCAGUGGGGAAAUACAUGUAAUGAUGGUCCUGUUUUGCCCCUUUAAGCAUACAGCAGGAGCAGGAAGAUCCCUUGUCAUAACUCGAUGCUGUGUGUAAUGGACAUGUCUCCAUGAUGGAUCCUAAGGUGCCUAUAGCAAUGACCACAGUAACUUAGAUGUUAACCGUACCAGCCUUAUCUUGUGUGACCACAUUAUAAGGUAUAGAAGCUAUAACUAUUUUUCAAGCUCAAUUAGAUUCCGGGGAACGGCAGCAAUCCAAGAUGCAGAUCUUUCUCAAGCCUCCAAUUUAAAGUGAUCAUGAGGUGAAAUGGAGCCAAGAAGAGCCAAGUAAGAACCUCCAAAACUCAAGCUGUCAUAAAGACAAUGUCCUUUUAGCAGAUGAUGCAUAGGAGGCCAAGAGAAGUGGGAUAAGCGACAGUGCUAUGACACAUUUUUCCAUCAGAAGCACAGCUCUGCUUCCCAGGCUUUCUAGGAGUCCUCUCUGGUGGCUAUGCCAAUAUAUUCUGCACUGCACCCCAGGACAGCUGGAGGCAGGUAAUCUGACCUACCUGGUAGCCAGGUGAGACUUUUCAGCAACUGUUGACUACAAAAGACAAAGAUCAUGCUGUCAAGCAGAAUUACUCUUUUGAGACAGGAAAUGGCUAGAAAUAGGAUGCAAAGCUGAUGCCCAGAAAAGGUAAUGGGAAAAAAACAUGCAUGCAAUCUAUGAGCAUGGAUUCUUUGUUCCAGCAGGUGCCAGUCUGCUGCAUUUGCAGAUGGUAUAUCAAGGGAGCCCCAAUGGCUAGUUAGAGCAAUUCCUGCACUAAUGUGAACAGAGAUUUUGAUUUCACGGUCUGAAAUAAAAUGACCCAAAUAUAAUGAUGCAAGCUUAUUAAUUUAUUUGCUAUGGGUCGGUAACCCUCCAUAGUCUAUAGCAUGAGUUACAUGAAGGGACAGGGGGAUUUAAACUCAAAUUUAACAGAGUUGGAUUUCUGUAUGGAAAUUGGAAGAAACGAAGCACUAAAUUGCAUGUUUUAUGAUGAUAUCUUAUUAAGAAAAAAUUAAUGCCCAACUUUGAAAGCACCAAACUAAUUCUGAAUGGAAGCAGUAUAAAAAGAACAGCCUCAUGAAGAUUUGAACUAAAUGAUAUAUAAGCAAGUUAUGCCCCCCUGUCCAGUGCUGGAAACAUGGACAAACCUUGAAAGUUACCAGCUUAGGAUGGCCAAUAUAAGAUGGGCUUUCUGUUUGCAGAGGCAAUUUCUACAGUGGUGCCAGAGGCACUGGCAAACUUAGUAAAGUCAGAGUACUGCAUAAAGCGUGUGUCUUGGUUUUGAGACAAGUUUCAGGAGAAAAUGCCCUGGAAUGAGCAUUUCCUCUAAGCAGAAAGGACUUCAAUAAUUCCCUUUUCUUUCACCAAUGAGAGUAAUGGAUACCAGGGGGCGAAAGUGAAUAAAACACAGUUUAUUAACAGAAGAAAAAAAAAAAAAAACCCAAAAAAAACCCAGGUGCCUGCAAGGCACAAGAAAAGAAAGAAAAAAAAUUGAAUAAAUGUUAGAUAUUGAAAUUGUGCAUGGCAGCCUGUGUUCCUCUUGAUGACACCUGAUGCUUUGUCCUCAGGGCCCUGUGAGCAUUUCAGAUUUCGGUAUACGGAAACAUUAAGAUCCUUCUCCUACAAAGCGUGAAUGGGGUUAUUGCAUCAGACUUCUUCCAUUCCCAAUGCAAUAGGCUGUUACGAUAUUAGGUGUGUGCACUGAGUGAAUGACUAUGGUCUAAACACACUGCACUAUGUUUGUAGGCUUAAACAAGACAGAGAGUCUGUCCCACACAAAGUCAAACAGAACAGGGAUGAAAGGUGUUGGGCAUUUAUUCUGGGUGCUGCUAAACACCUGUGGAGCCUUUGCUGGCACUCUCAGGAAACUAUUACAUCUGUGUGUCAGAGUGGAGGAGCCACUUGAUCAAUGCAUAGAUCACAGAAUCAAUUAGGAUCACAGAAUGUUCUGAGUUGGAAGGGACCCCAAGGAUCAUCCAGUCCAACUCUUAAGUGAACGGCCCAGAUAUUACAGUAUACUUUUUUCACAUGCAAAAGCUGGCCCUGGAGGCCCUCCCUGCUGAACCUAGAGGUAGUUAGGACCUUCACUUAGAGCACCCCACAAGGGCACAAACUUUGACCAUUGUGAACUUGAUUUGAGCCUGAGAGCCAGAAGCAAGGGAACUGCACACCUGUGCCAACUCUUCAAACUAUUUUUUAAGGGCUUUUAUCUUACGUGGUAAUGCAAAACACUAUUUAGUGUUUCUUCCUUCAAAAUUGUUUUGAUAUGUGGGAUGGUAAAUCAAGGGAGAAAACUUUCCAGCAGGGAUAAAAAUUAAACCUCAUUCAUUUUACCCUACUUUCUCCAUUUAUGUGUAGGAUACAUAUGAUGACUAUGUCAGUGUUAAUGGUGGAGUUCAUGGCUUCACCUCAAAAGAGACUUCAUACCUAAGUGACAUUCUGGUGGCCUCCAUAAUAUAGGCUUGCUCAUAAACUUAAUAGUAGAUAAGACAGUUAAGUGUCUUUCCUGAGAAGAGGGAGCUGUGAGGUUGAGCCCUUUUAGAUAUAAAGAACAUCAAACUGGAACUCACUUCCUGGAUAAGCAUCCUAAGGAAAGGACUGUGCCUGAGGUGUGAUAAUGUUCUAGUUCCUCUUCCAGUGUUACUAAUAGAGUCUUUUUUUGAGGUACAUACAGCCAAUGGGAGAUAGCAAGUUCCAAAACUCAGCAUACACAUUAGUAUUUAUAGAAUUUUUUGUGCCAUAUACUGUAUUUAGGACUGACCUUGAUAAUGGUGAUUUAUCUAGCCUUUUGAUGGAAAAAAACCUUGCUGUUAAAUUAAAUGAGUGCCUUUUUUAUUAUUAUUGUUUUUUUAAGCGGGUCUGGACUACUGCACAUGGCUGUAAUGCUCUCCAAAAUGGAAGUAAAGAUAAUGCAUUUGACUUAGGCAAUAAAACUGAAUCCUGCAGGUGAUCAUUUGAUUGCAAUUCAUAGAAGUUUAUUAUAGAAAUAUAAGAAGGAAUAACAGCAUCGCUUUAGAAUAAGAUAAAAAAACCCCUGACCCUAAUCUUCUCUCUGCACUGAAAUGAAACCCAGAAUUAUUCCAAAUUAAUUUUAUAGAAAGAGUCAUAUCAGGUCUCUACUCAUGCUUGACAUUUUACCAAGUUCUUUCCCUCCUGGCUUUUCUCACAGGACACAAUGAAAUUUAGCAUUCAUGAAUUGCUCAGGGCCUUUUGUAAAAUCCCAGCCCAUGAUAUCAGCACCUUCUUUGCUUGUUCUGGAGAUCUUGUUGCUGAACUCAGAUGUUUCUUCAGUCUCUAGCUGGGGUCUGCUUGCCAUUGCAUCCAAAUCCCACAUCUUCCAGGGCAGAUAAGUUGCUGAGGAUGCUUCAUCACCACAAGAUAGAGUGAACAAUGGGCUUUAUGAUGCUGGUGAAAAGGGGCAUGCAGAGAAAUCCGAAGACUUGUUUAUGCCUCAGUGGUUUCUGUGCAAUAUAGAAUCAUAAGAUAGAGUAAUUUAUGUUGGAAAAGAGUCUAAAGAACAUUGAGCCCAAACAUAAACACAACACUACCAAGUCUACGCCUAACCAUGUCCCUGCAAGAGUAUACCACAUUCAUUAGUAGUCAUUUACCUUACUACCGUAGGUGGCGCAGAUAAACUAGCAUUGCAAUACCAAGCUUGAGGGAUGCUCACUGCAGCUGCAGCAGAAUGCAUCAAGGCAUAGUUGCAACUUAGGCUGGAGGUGCUGAAGUAGCUCACGCAGUUCCACACUAUAUCAACUAUCAACUUCACCCUUUAGGGUAUACAAGCUGUCUGGUUUAAAGCUCUGUCUGCAUGAUCUCUGCCUUCAAUGUUGUAUACUCCAUGGUUGUAGAGAAAGAGUGGGAGCAGGGAUAACAGAAGGCUUUAGUGAAGCAUUGAGCUAAGGAAUAGAUAUAUGUAAGUCUUCAAUUUUCAUGACUCUUGUUCAGUGGUAAUGGUCAGCUUGGAUGAAGGAAACUGUAGGAGCAAAAAAAUGACUCUGCCAGGGGAAAAGGUUGGAUUGGCAAUGGUUAGGUUAAACCAUUACUCUCAGGAAAACACUUAGGAGAAGCCCACUCACCAUGGCUGCAUAGACUGGUCAUUUUAAAAGUGGAGAUCUUACCUGAUAGGCUUUCCACAAUUUUUCUGCCUAGAACCUGCAUUUGGCUGCCAAAGGACAGCUGAUGUACUGGUAGUGUUGCUCCCAUAGUGCCACGGUUGUAACUCUUCUGUUGCAUAACAGAACUCCUCAUCAACGCCUCACGGCUGCAGGGUCAGGAUUUAAUUAAAACAUCAUAAAGAUGUCUUUGGCAAUCUGGACACAAUAUUAUUCUGAAUGCAAUGCAGUAUUGCAGGAAAAAUGUCACUCUUGUCUACUCGUGUGUACCCCGGGCACGAUUCAGGUAACCAAUAAUGACUAGCCAUAGGAUCAAGUAGAUGAUACAGAGUAAGCUUGGUUUCAUCAAUAUAUAUAAGGUGGACUAAUUUCCAGUAUGCUUUUGUAAGCAGCAUUUGCUUGAAUUCUACUAGAAAAUAAAAAUAUACUGCCAAAAUAAGAGUGCUGAAGCCUGAGAAGGGGAAGGAGCAAAAUCAGUCUGCCUGCUUGAAAUCUUGUUUGAAACACCUUAAAAGGUCUCUGAACUUACUUACAGAACCUUACAGAACUUACUUCAAAAAAAUCCUAGGAACAUAGUUAGUGACUAAUUUAAUUAGUUUCAUUUUGUUAUAAAAUGCAUGAGUAUGAAGUGGAGAAGGAUAAACUGGUACCACAGUUACCCCUAUGCCUUCACCUAGAAAAUUACAAAGACUGUGUUUACUUCUGUCUCUGGUCCAUUCCUGUUAAGUCGGAUAUGUGCUAUCUCCUACAUCCCUGGUUUUGAGCUUUAUUCCUGAAAGACUUGAUUCACUACCACAUAAGUUACAUUUCAUGCUGACAUAAUUCCACUGAUUUCAGCUAAAUACUGUGAACUUAUCUGGUGAUAACAGAGGAGUAAUUAAAAAAAUAUAUUGUAAAAGUAUUAUGGUUUCUUUUUGAUUUUAAAUAGUUCAAUUUUGUGGUUCUGGCUUUUAAGAAUUAAAAUGAUCCGCUCAAUGACAACAAUG
Molecule: non-coding RNA, 13557 nt
Organism: Taeniopygia guttata (zebra finch)
Lineage: Eukaryota; Metazoa; Chordata; Aves; Passeriformes; Estrildidae
Source: RefSeq, a predicted model, not a curated record